UAGAAAUACAAAAAAUCUGUUCCAAAAUGUUCUUCAUAGCUUAAAGGGGGACAUGUUAUGGUGGUAUUUGCGAAUCUCUCAAGGUUGCCCUUCAAGGUCAGUUCAAGGUCAACUUCAUUUUCUUAAAUAGGUCGACCUGAAUUUUAUUUCAUAUUUGAAUUCUGCGUAAAAUUCUACAUUCUUUGAACUAUUAGUUUCUUAUUUUUACUUUCAAAAAUUUUCCGCUUGUUUUAAGGUCGGGAUUUUUUUUGGUUUAAAAAAUACAUGUGUGGCAUAUCAAACUAAAGCUCUCAUUAUUCUAAAUCAGAUGGUAUGUUUAGAAAAUCGCUGUUUCCUUUUUUCUUAUUUUUUCAUUUUUUUUCCACCCCUCCCCCAUGGUUUCAGGGUGUGUCAGUACGUAAUAUUCAGAUCGUCCGGCGAUUUUUGGGCAUACCAUUUGAUUUAGAAUGAUGAGGGCUUUAGUUUGAUAUGCCACACAUGUAUCUUUGAGCUGAAAAAAUUCUCGACCUUAAAAAAAGCGGAUUUUUUAUUUCAUAUAAGAAAUAAAUAAUUGAAUGAAUGUAGAAUUUUACGCAAAACUCAAAUAUGAAAUAAAAUUCAGGUCGACCCAUUUAAGAAAAUGAAGUUGACCUUGAACUGACCUUGAAGGGCAACCUUGACAGAUUCGCAAAGGUCACCAUAACAUGUCCCCCUUUGAGCUAUGAAGAACAUCUCAG
This 716-nucleotide long non-coding RNA is filed under the name Olea europaea subsp. europaea. The record is from RNAcentral. Lineage: Eukaryota; Viridiplantae; Streptophyta; Magnoliopsida; Lamiales; Oleaceae.